RNAcentral lists this ribosomal RNA (253 nucleotides) under uncultured bacterium. Its description in RNAcentral is "partial 16S ribosomal RNA". It matches the Rfam family "Bacterial small subunit ribosomal RNA", at positions 524 to 776 of the family's 1533-position model. The record is from RNAcentral.
UACGUAGGGGGCAAGCGUUGUCCGGAAUCAUUUGGCGUAAAGAGCGCGUAGGCGGUCCGGUAAGUCCGCUCUGAAAGUCCGGGGCUCAACCCCGGGAGGCGGGCGGAUACUGUCGGGCUAGAGUCCGGAAGAGGCGAGUGGAAUUCCUGGUGUAGCGGUGAAAUGCGCAGAUAUCAGGAGGAACACCGAUGGCGAAGGCAGCUCGCUGGGACGGUACUGACGCUGAGGCGCGAAAGCGUGGGGAGUAAACAGG